GACGAACGCUGGCGGCGUGCCUAAUACAUGCAAGUCGAACGCACUCUCGUUUAGAUUGAAGGAGUUUGCUCCUGAUUGAUAAACAUUUGAGUGAGUGGCGGACGGGUGAGUAACACGUGGGUAACCUGCCCUAAAGUGGGGGAUAACAUUUGGAAACAGAUGCUAAUACCGCAUAAAACCUAACACCGCAUGGUGUAGGGUUGAAAGAUGGUUUCGGCUAUCACUUUAGGAUGGACCCGCGGUGCAUUAGUUAGUUGGUGAGGUAAAGGCUCACCAAGACCGUGAUGCAUAGCCGACCUGAGAGGGUAAUCGGCCACACUGGGACUGAGACACGGCCCAGACUCCUACGGGAGGCAGCAGUAGGGAAUCUUCCACAAAGGACGAAAGUCUGAUGGAGCAACGCCGCGUGAGUGAAGAAGGUUUUCGGAUCGUAAAACUCUGUUGUUGGAGAAGAAUGUAUCUGAUAGUAACUGAUCAGGUAGUGACGGUAUCCAACCAGAAAGCCACGGCUAACUACGUG
RNAcentral lists this ribosomal RNA (520 nucleotides) under uncultured bacterium. Its description in RNAcentral is "partial 16S ribosomal RNA". It matches the Rfam family "Bacterial small subunit ribosomal RNA", at positions 28 to 507 of the family's 1533-position model. The record is from RNAcentral.